GGUAGGUUCUGAUAAGGAAGAGUCCCUUUUCUUUUGAGGAUUAGGAGAGCUCCUUGAGUCUUCAUCAACAGAAAACAGAGGUCAUCAGAGAAGCUAAAAGAUAAGAGACUUGGAUUAGAUCCAGUGAUAAAAUGUCUGCCCUGAAUACAGAAGUAAUGCAAAUGAGAGUGAAAUCAGCAUGAAUCAAAUGAUAGGGUUUGACACAAGGGCAAUGCUGUCUCUAUGUGUAACUCAGCCACCUGGAAGAAAGAAAAGCUGUUCAGCCAGUGACGCCAUUUAGGAAAAUUGGUGUGAGAAAAUUAAUCUAACCACCAUUGAACAUAACUUUGUCCCUUGGCUGAAGGGUUACUGGAAAACUACAUAUUGCAAACUCUGAGAACAUAUGGAAAAAGUCUGAGCUUGUUUAGCUACUGUGCUAUCCACCAGUCUGACAGACUAUUAAGAAAGAAGGCUUGUUUAAGAGACUCUUGAAUAGGCUAUAUCCAGGAGCCUUUGGAAUAUAUAACAUGGACAGAUCUUCAAUGGAAUUUAAUAAAAAGAAAUGAAAUGAAACUAA
This is a long non-coding RNA of Ornithorhynchus anatinus (platypus), 556 nucleotides long. RefSeq lists it as uncharacterized. The record is from RefSeq and is a predicted model, not a curated record. The transcript is spliced from 3 exons. NCBI's taxonomy places the organism in Eukaryota, Metazoa, Chordata, Mammalia, Monotremata, Ornithorhynchidae.